Molecule: unclassified non-coding RNA, 412 nt
Filed under: soil metagenome
Description: partial contains 5.8S ribosomal RNA, internal transcribed spacer 2, and large subunit ribosomal RNA
Rfam family: 5.8S ribosomal RNA (bases 1-122)
Source: RNAcentral
GAUGAAGAACGCAGCGAAAUGCGAUACUUGGUGUGAAUUGCAGAAUCCCGUGAACCAUCGAGUCUUUGAACGCAAGUUGCGCCCGAAGCCGUCAGGCCGAGGGCACGCCUGCCUGGGCGUCACACGCCGUUGCCCCCCCGCGCCCCGCACCCAACGCUUUGGGAGCGACCGCGGGGCGGGCUGAUGAUGGCCUCCCGUGCGCUCCGCCGCGCGGUUGGCCCAAAUACCGAGUCCCCGGCGACGUGCGCCACGACGAUCGGUGGUUGAGAGACCUCUGUCGCAAGUCGUGCGCGCCCGUCGCGUCACGCGGGCUCGCAUAGCGCCUCGCGCCGCACCCGGUGCGGAGCUUUCAACGCGACCCCAGGUCAGGCGGGGUUACCCGCUGAGUUUAAGCAUAUCAAUAAGCGGAGGA